Molecule: ribosomal RNA, 474 nt
Filed under: uncultured bacterium
Lineage: Bacteria
Description: bacterial SSU rRNA
Rfam family: Bacterial small subunit ribosomal RNA
Source: RNAcentral
GACGAACGCUGGCGGCGUGCCUAAUACAUGCAAGUCGAACGGUCUUUUCUAUGGAAGCUUGCUUCCACUGAGAAGAUAGUGGCGAACGGGUGAGUAACACGUGGGUAACCUGCCCAUAAGAGGGGGAUAACAUCCGGAAACGGGUGCUAAUACUGCAUAGUUUUCUUUGAUUGCAUGAUCGGGAAAGGAAAGACGGCCUUUGUGCUGUCGCUUAUGGAUGGACCCGCGGCGUAUUAGUUAGUUGGUGAGGUAACGGCUCACCAAGACGAUGAUACGUAGCCGACCUGAGAGGGUGAUCGGCCACAUUGGGACUGAGACACGGCCCAAACUACCUACGGGAGGCAGCAGUAGGGAAUCUUCCGCAAUGGACGAAAGUACUGACGGAGCAACGCCGCGUGAGUGAAGAAGGUUUUCGGUAUCGUAAAACUACUGUUGUCAGAGAAGAACAAGUUGGAGAGUAACUGCUCCAGCCUU